Molecule: ribosomal RNA, 253 nt
Filed under: uncultured bacterium
Lineage: Bacteria
Description: partial 16S ribosomal RNA
Rfam family: Bacterial small subunit ribosomal RNA
Source: RNAcentral
UACGGAGGAUCCGAGCGUUAUCCGGAUUUAUUGGGUCUAAAGGGAGCGUAGACGGUAAUGUAAGUCUGGAGUGAAAGGCGGGGGCCCAACCCCCGGACUGCUCUGGAAACUAUGUUACUAGAGUGCAGGAGAGGUAAGCGGAAUUCCUAGUGUAGCGGUGAAAUGCGUAGAUAUUAGGAGGAACACCAGUGGCGAAGGCGGCUUACUUGACUGUAACUGACGUUGAGGCUCGAAAGCGUGGGGAGCAAACAGG